RNAcentral lists this ribosomal RNA (540 nucleotides) under Triticum aestivum (bread wheat). RNAcentral's name for it is "partial small subunit ribosomal RNA". Lineage: Eukaryota; Viridiplantae; Streptophyta; Magnoliopsida; Poales; Poaceae. The record is from RNAcentral.
AUGCACGAGUGUCAGGGAACUAUGCAGCCUAUGCUAGCCCUUGGUCUGCUCCUGCUGCUGAGCCUCGACGGAGGUGUGGCCGUGGCGGCGGAAGACGGCCAGUUCGCCUACCAAGGCUUCGCCGCCGCGAACCUCACCCUGGACGGCGUCGCCGCUGUCACGCCCAACGGCCUCCUGCUGCUCACCGACACGGAGUACCAGACAACAGGCCAUGCCUUCCACCCCGCACCACUCCGCUUCCUCGACAGCUCCACCACGAUGACGAACAGCGCCGCCAUGGCGCAGUCCUUCUCCGCGUCCUUCGUGUUCGCCAUUAGGUCAAGAUACGAUGGCCUGACCAGCUACGGGCUUGCCUUCGUCGUCGCGCCGACCUCGAACCUCUCAGCUGCCGAGAGCGGGCGCAACCACAUCGGCAUCGGCGUCAACAGUCUCAUCUCACGGCAGGCCAAGCAGGCUGGGUACUACAGCGACGAGAACGGCGCCUUCCAAGAUCUGAGGCUGAACGGCGCCUUCCAAGAUCACGGUGUGGGUAGACUAUGA